Molecule: ribosomal RNA, 623 nt
Filed under: uncultured archaeon
Lineage: Archaea
Description: bacterial SSU rRNA
Rfam family: Archaeal small subunit ribosomal RNA
Source: RNAcentral
GUAAUACUCCAUAGAUUAGAGACACUGGAAUGUUCUUUAGUCGAAAGUUCUGGCGCCUUAGGAUGGAUCUGCGGUCGAUUAGGUUGUUGUUGGGGUAACGGCCCAACAAGCCUGUAAUCGAUACGGGUUGUGGGAGCAAGAGCCCGGAGAUGGAAUCUGAGACACGAUUCCAGGCCCUACGGGGCGCAGCAGGCGCGAAAACUUUACAAUGCAGGAAACUGUGAUAAGGGAACUCCGAGUGCCCGUAUACGCGGGCUGUCCAGGUGUUUAAAAAUCAUCUGAAGAAAGGGCCGGGCAAGACCGGUGCCAGCCGCCGCGGUAAUACCGGCGGCUCGAGUGGUGGCCACUAUUAUUGGGCUUAAAGCGUCCGUAGCUGGACCGAUAAGUCUCUUGGGAAAUCCGCCGGCUCAACCGGCGGGCGUCUAAGGGAUACUGUUAGUCUAGGGACCGGGAGAGGUGAGAGGUACUCCGGGGGUAGGAGUGAAAUCCUGUAAUCCCCGGGGGACCACCGAUGGCGAAGGCAUCUCACCAGAACGGCUCCGACAGUGAGGGACGAAAGCUGGGGGAGCGAACCGGAUUAGAUACCCGGGUAGUCCCAGCCGUAAACUAUGCGCGUUAGGUGU